GCCGAGGGGGUGUGGCUGUGGCGGCGCCCGGCCGGGCUCUGCGCACGGCGCCCGACGGGGCGGGGCACGUGACCUCCCGCCGCCCCGCCCCGCCCUUCUUUACAUAAAGUGCCGCCGGUCAGCUGACCCUCCCGGCGCUUUGCUAUUGGUGGAAAAGGGGCGCGGGGAGGGGUUAAAAGCGCCCCGCCCGCUGUGUGUGUUCGCCACGGGGGCGGGGCUGGCGCCGCGCGCGGUCAGGGUGUGAGUCAUGUGGGGGCAGGCUCGCGCGGGAAGGGCCCGGCCGGCGGUUGGGGAGCGCGCGCGCGCGGCCGUUAGCGCCCCGCCUGCCCUGAGGGGAGCCCCGGGCUGGAGAGGCACGGAGCCACCCGAGCCGGGCAGGAGGGAACCGUGGGGACCGGGGACGGGGGUCUGGGGGUCCUCGGGGCUCUGCCCGCAGCUCCCCGGCGGCUGCUGCUCGCGGUGGUCCCCUCAGGUGUUAGUUCUCGUCAGGGUGGGAGCCGCAGGGCUAGCAGAAAGUUGUUUGUGCGCUCCCGUCUGUAUCGGAGUGCCGCCGCCUCACGGUGUAACGCCCGGCGGGAUGGGGCUGCUGCUCCCGUUGGUGGCAGCGCCGCGCCCCAACAGCCUGGCAGGGCAGCGGGCGGCAGGCUCGCCGGGAGCGUGGAAUAGAAGAGAAUCCUUGGACUGAUGGGACUUCUUCCUUCUGCCAUUGUUGUCCGAUUGGAGAUUCUGACUAGAUGGGUGAUGCCAGCGUCUGUGGGGAGGAAUGGAGAACCUGCACAUAUGCUGAAUGUCAGCUUGAAGGCAAGUAGGACAGAAAACAGCAAGCUUUAUCCUGUGCCAUAGCAGGCGCUGACAAGGUUAAUGCAGUUAAGUUACGUACGGUUAUACACAAUUAGUGAUAUUACAUCACAUCUUUAGAUACAGAGCAACAGGGGGAAGAUCUCUUCCUCUGUGUUACAAUCCAGUAGAAUCUGUGUAACACUUAACAAUUUCUUUUAUAAGCAAAAGAAUUGGGGAAGUAGUUACAGUAUUCCCACUAGCCUUAAUUCAAGAUGGAAAUAAAGAGAAUUAUCAUCACCUACUCUGUCAGGUCACUGCAGAAGGCUCUUUGGCACUCCAGCGAGAGCAGUUCGGUUGCCAGGAGACGAUAAGUUAAUUUUGGAAGGUAAUGCCCUCUGAGCAAGUAAUGCCAUCGUUCUAGAUCAGAGCAGAAUCUAAUGCUCUGUAGUCACAAGCUUGCCUUCUAAAAGGAUUUGCCCCUCUAUCGUACUGGGAAUAAGCAAAGUGUGCUGCUGAAUUGUCUAUUGCUAGCAAAAUAAAAUCCUGAACAGUAAAAUCUUAGGGCAUUGUUAAAUACUCAGCAUAAAAUUAAUGCUCCAGCAGGCUCAUUGAGGUUAGGCCAUCUGUUAACUAUGCAGGUACAUACGUCAAAAGACAGAUUGCCAAAACUACGUCCCAUGACCUUAAAAUAAGAGGGAGACCAACAAAAUGUUACAAGGACAAAUUCAAGGCAAGUCUUCAACUAUGUGUGUAGCAUUAAUUUCACAAUAUGGGACGUGGUAGCUAAAAGCUUUUGAGACACUAAAUAUUUACUGGUGCUGUAAAAUGACAGGCACAUGGACUGCAGUGGUCAGCACAUGGUCAGCUCCGAUAUUGAAUGUUUUUGACUUACGUUUAAAAAUUGCAUAGAAAACCUUUUGUAGGAUAUAUGUACUUCUUGGUUUGUCUGUAGACAAAUUUUGUACCUUCUUACAUGUUUUUUAGCAUGAGUGGGAAAAUUACAGGAUUUUAUGAUAGUACUGAAAAGGAACAAAGUUGUUUGCCUGUGUGCAUGUAUUUAUUUUCCUUAAUUACCUCUUAUUACAUUCUGGACUAUGGUAUGCAAAGUGGUAAUAGAGGAAGGGAGAUCUAGAGAAGAUGUAAGUGAUCACUUUUUUAUAAGUACAGUGCUUUUCAUCUGAAAGUUCACUGUAGACAGGAAGUGCUCUUAUGCAGAUUUUACAGAUGGUGAAACUGAGGCACAGACCAAUUGCCAUGAGUUGCCAAGUUACCUAUCUCACAAGUGGCCUACUAAUACAGCUCCCCUCCAGAGUAUCAAUCCAGUGUUUCUACUGGCAUUUUCUCCAGAUGCUGGUGCAUAUAUCAAAUCCAAGAUGUGGAAGGAUUUCUGAAGUAAAAAGCCUCACCACUUUCAUGAGAUGUAGAGAAGGGGAAGGAUGAGGUUCAGUCCUUCCUUGCUCUGCUCUGUUGAGCUAUGCAACGUAGGAGAAGGAGACAGAAGAAGGAAAAGAAGGAAAGAAAAUAAGGAUAAUGGGAGAAAGGAGUGGCAGGAAAACAAAAAAGGCAAAACAAAGAUAAAUAGAAACAGGAGAAUGGUUUUAAAAGGUAAAGAGGAAGAGACUAUGAAUUUGGGGUUAGUGGAACAAGCAAAAAUUAUCUUUUGAAAUGGAACUGUAAGUCCAAAAACAUUCCUUUCCUUGAUUACCUGCAAGCAUUGCAGGAGAACAGAGACUAACUUCCUCCUCCUGCUUAUCUGCACUCCAUUUUUUUCCAUUUUAUGUAUUGAUGCUCUUAGCAAAAGACAAUACCUUGUAUUUUAGCCUUACUUUUAGGUUACCCCAUUUUCUUAAAGUUUGCUAAAAGCCUAAGGCAACAAAAUCGAAACCAUAGUCUGCUUUUCAUGUCAUUCCUGCUUUUCUACAAUGUGACAAAGCUGCAUAUUUAAAAAUACCUCUCAGAAUACAUCUCUUCAAAGCUACUUCACCCAACUUUGUUAGUCUGCCCUGAUACAAUUUUUGUUCAAAAUAAAAUGGUUUGGGAUUUUAUUGACAGUCUAUAAUUUCAUAUAAUUUCAUACUGUCUUUUCAGUCUGAAAAGUGGGACAGAAAUGGAUCUAUUGUUACUUGUAAAUCAAAACAUUAUCAGCUGUGACAAGUUCAUAAAGCAGUAGAAAAGCCUGAAAUAAAAUUCCAUAAGACUGAAAAUCAUCUUAUCUAUCUAUUUAUCUCUUUAUUUAUUUGUUUAAAUUCCAGCUAUUGCUAUGCUGUCCCAAUGGGAAAUCAUGUAGAGUUUCUAGGAAAAAACAAACAAACAAAAAAACCACAAACUCACACAGAAAAAAGUAGAAUCGAUAAGCCAAUUCGAGGUCACUGGAAUAAAU
Molecule: long non-coding RNA, 3160 nt
Organism: Cairina moschata (Muscovy duck)
Lineage: Eukaryota; Metazoa; Chordata; Aves; Anseriformes; Anatidae
Source: Ensembl